GAAAACCAUUAAAACAUAAUUAAUGAGACUCACAAAAAAGGGUACGUGACGACCGAGAGAGAAUCAGCUGCAGAGAGAGAGAGACUGCAGAGAAAGAAGCCUUCGGAAUGAGGUUGUCAGUGUCUCUGUGUUUUUCUCCUUUUUUUUUUUUUUGAAAAUAAAAUAAAUAAACCAGAAAGUCACUCCAAAAUCACAGAGCAAUCUUUUUUCUUUUUUUUUUUUGAAUUUUGCUAUUAAUGUUGCAAUUUAUUAAACAUAUGUGAACCCAUAAAUAAACAGACUUCUUCAACGGCACGGACCACUUCAUUGAUUAAUCAUUUAUUUUUCGAUCUCAAAGUACAAAACAGAGUGAUUGUUUGACAAGAACCACCACCAACACCAACCUUGGUAUGUGCGGCUCCAAUUCAAAAUUAGGCUUAAAAUUGAAAUUAUUUAUUUAUUUUUCAAUUCAAA
Molecule: long non-coding RNA, 453 nt
Filed under: Prunus persica (peach)
Lineage: Eukaryota; Viridiplantae; Streptophyta; Magnoliopsida; Rosales; Rosaceae
Description: long non-coding RNA (PPER_LNC004417)
Source: RNAcentral